GGAGCGGGAGGCGCCGGAGAAACCCGGAGUGCGGAGAAACGGAGCGGGGCUCGGGCGGAAAGGGGCCGCUUCUGGGCCGCUCGGCCCGGGGAAGCGGCGUGGAGAGGUGUUGAGGGAUGCAGAGCUCUUUCUGGGGGCGGGGUGGCGCUGCUCCUGCCCCGGGGAGCCUCAGAGCUGGGCAGCACGGGGAGCGAGCGACGGCAGAGGGAAAUGACCUGCGAAGGAGGAAGGGAAGGAGGACAGAGGGACGAGGAAAGCACGAUGGCAGGAAAGCUCUGUUCUGGCUCUCCAGUUUUAAGCAGAAGGAAGAACUAACCCAUGCUUGUGGUGGAAAUCAGGCUGUGGGCCCUUCGAGCGCUCCCAGCAGAUGGUGCUGUGAUCCUUCCGGCGGGCAAAUUACUUCCCCAGAGCUAUUCUGCACCAAAUCUCUGACAGCAAAGCAAGGCGAGCUGCUGUCCAGCCCCAGGUGGCUGCUAGUGCUUCCUGCAGUACAGCUGUGUGUACACACAGAGCUCCUCGCUGCGGCUUCAGAGCUGUCUGUGCAGCCUGAGUGCUUGAGCUCAGCCUCCCCUGAAAUCCCCCUGAGCUGUCACAGGGCCCGGGUCAGCCCUGCUGGUGGCUGCCGCUGGCCCUCCUGGUCUCACUGCAGAGGUGUGUGCAGUGCACUCUUCCUUCACUUCCUUCCUUUUCCUAGGAGGAAAAUGGCCUUAAGUUGCACCAGGGGAGGUUCAGGUUGGACGUUAGGGAACAAACUUUCUUCUCUGAAAGAGUGGUGAUUCACUGGCCUGCGUGGAAGAAAGGCCUGCAUGGGCCUUUAGUGUUCAACCCAGAGGUGCGUCCCUGAUGGGAGGAUGUCAAAUCAACUUGUAGCAAGCGUCAAACCUCACUACAGAAAUUAAUCUCCUCUGCUAUCUACUGUCUGGUCUGAUACAGUGACUGCAGAUGUGUGUUUUGAAGGAGACUGCUCUGCCUGUAUUGAGCUUUUCCAGCACUGAGGUCAUCUGCCUAGAAAUGAUAUCAACGUCCCCACAGAGUGAGGCAGAACAACUGUCCAUUCAUAGACCCAGUUUCUCUGCAAACAGCACAAAAACAAGGAGGCUCAGCAGAGCUCAGGGGGUUUUUGCCCUGGCCUGGCCUAUGGCUUCUGUGUGCUGGAAAUCUGCUGCUUCAUCCCAGCAGGGGGUGACAGGUUACUGUUAUCUCAGUGCUAAAUAACACAAAGGUGUACAAUCCGUAAUAAUAUUUCUUCAACAUCUUCUGUGGUAGAUUUUUCAACUCAGAACUAAGAUGACUACUUUCCUGUACUUCCAUAGUACAGAAAGCCAUUAUAUUUCCUGGAUGUUCCCUAUGACAAAAGGUGCCCCAGUUCUUUCGGGCUACAACAGCUAGAAUGGUUGUAUGAGAUACAGCUACCAAGAUACCAACCCAGUGUGAUUAUUAACAGGUAAUGCCUAACAUGUGUUAAAGAAAGGCUGUCAAAUCUGGCUGGCAACUACUCACAUCUCAGUGGUGUAACUUGUCAAUGUGUGCUUUUUUCCACCGUGUAAAGCAAUUCUGGUGAACUGCAAAAUGCACUUCACAGAAGGUUUGGUUGCAAGCAGAUGCCAGCCUCUCACUGUUGAUCUGGAGAUGUAUGCUGGAUGUGAACAGAGUAAAGAACUGAUUUCUGAAAGUAAAUUAAAAAAAAAACUCAGUACA
Molecule: long non-coding RNA, 1698 nt
Organism: Gallus gallus (chicken)
Lineage: Eukaryota; Metazoa; Chordata; Aves; Galliformes; Phasianidae
Exons: 2
Source: RefSeq, a predicted model, not a curated record